RNAcentral lists this long non-coding RNA (255 nucleotides) under Urocitellus parryii (Arctic ground squirrel). Its description in RNAcentral is "lncRNA (ENSUPAG00010006505.1)". The record is from RNAcentral. Lineage: Eukaryota; Metazoa; Chordata; Mammalia; Rodentia; Sciuridae.
CAUCGGUCUUCCAAGGCUAGGGCUGCUGCGACUGAGGAAUCUGAGGUUUAAGCCCCUCGGCRAGGGUCCCAGCCAGUGCCCUGGAGUAAGAGCGGACGUUCACUGAACAAGGCCAUGCCCAGAGGAUUCUAGAACUUCAAAGCACUGAUGCCCAGGUCCUAAGCCCUGAGAAUGUGACCCUCCAUGGCACAGGACUUUGCAGAUGUGAUGGAUGAGGCCAGGACCUGAAAGUGGGGGUCAUCCUGGAUGACCCAG